This 497-nucleotide ribosomal RNA is filed under the name uncultured bacterium. RNAcentral describes it as "partial 16S ribosomal RNA". It matches the Rfam family "Bacterial small subunit ribosomal RNA", at positions 28 to 507 of the family's 1533-position model. The record is from RNAcentral.
GAUGAACGCUGGCGGCGUGCCUAAUACAUGCAAGUCGGGCGAACGGACGAGAAGCUUGCUUCUCUGAUGUUAGCGGCGGACGGGUGAGUAACACGUGGAUAACCUACCUAUAAGACUGGGAUAACUUCGGGAAGCCGGAGCUAAUACCGGAUGAUAUUUUGAACCGCAUGGUUCAAAAGUGAAAGACGGUCUUGCUGUCACUUAUAGAUGGAUCCGCGCUGCAUUAGCUAGUUGGUAAGGUAACGGCUUACCAAGGCAACGAUGCAUAGCCGACCUGAGAGGGUGAUCGGCCACACUGGAACUGAGACACGGUCCAGACUCCUACGGGAGGCAGCAGUAGGGAAUCUUCCGCAAUGGGCGAAAGCCUGACGGAGCAACGCCGCGUGAGUGAUGAAGGUCUUCGGAUCGUAAAACUCUGUUAUUAGGGAAGAACAUAUGUGUAAGUAACUGUGCACAUCUUGACGGUACCUAAUCAGAAAGCCACGGCUAACUACGUG